This 509-nucleotide ribosomal RNA is filed under the name uncultured Actinomycetes bacterium. Its description in RNAcentral is "bacterial SSU rRNA". It matches the Rfam family "Bacterial small subunit ribosomal RNA", at positions 376 to 896 of the family's 1533-position model. The record is from RNAcentral. Lineage: Bacteria; Bacillati; Actinomycetota; Actinomycetes.
CGAAAGCCUGAUGCAGCGACGCGCGUGAGGGAUGACGGCCUUCGGGUUGUAAACCUCUUUCAGCAGGGAAGAAGCGAAAGUGACGGUACCUGCAGAAGAAGCGCCGGCUAACUACGUGCCAGCAGCCGCGGUAAUACGUAGGGCGCGAGCGUUGUCCGGAAUUAUUGGGCGUAAAGAGCUCGUAGGCGGCUUGUCACGUCGGUUGUGAAAGCCCGGGGCUUAACCCCGGGUCUGCAGUCGAUACGGGCAGGCUAGAGUUCGGUAGGGGAGAUCGGAAUUCCUGGUGUAGCGGUGAAAUGCGCAGAUAUCAGGAGGAACACCGGUGGCGAAGGCGGAUCUCUGGGCCGAUACUGACGCUGAGGAGCGAAAGCGUGGGGAGCGAACAGGAUUAGAUACCCUGGUAGUCCACGCCGUAAACGGUGGGCACUAGGUGUGGGCGACAUUCCACGUCGUCCGUGCCGCAGCUAACGCAUUAAGUGCCCCGCCUGGGGAGUACGGCCGCAAGGCUA